AUGACGGGCUCGGCGACCAUCCUCUUCUGCCAUCUGUCUCCUCCCUACUUCAGUGGUUGUCGGUGGCCAGGGUCGCACACGAGGCAGGGGCGUUACGGUCGCAGAGCGCGCCUUUCCCCCCCUGUCAGCAGCCUGGGCGCAGGGACAACGCGGUUAGGGCGAAGCAGCGAAGCGGGGCGGCCUCGGGCCUCCCCUCCGGGGUCCUCGCCUCGGCAGGCGGGGUGCGCCCCCCUGUCCAGAAGCGUCCGGCCCCUGGCUCAGCCGAGGCGCGGGAGCGGGAGCGGGAGCGGGAGCGGGGCGACCCCGGCCGGCCGCCCCUGGGCCCCGCGCGGCCACACCGCCGUCCCCGCCGGCCCUCCUUCGCGGGGGGUCGGUGGGGGGAGGCAGCCGUGCCAGGCGGGGGUCCCGCGGGCCGUCGGCCACUGUCACCCCCACAACGGCGGAGGACGGCGGCUCGCCCGAGUCGCCCGCGACCCGGCCCCGUCUUCUGGCUCCGCGUUCUUAGAGGCAGCCGCCCCCCUCCGCCCCCCGACGUGGCCCCGGCUGGCUCCGGUGCCUCGGGCAUCGCGCCCCUGCACAAGCCCCGGGCGCCCCGGCACCUCUCUUCGGAGGCUUCUGGAAGGGAAGCCCGCGGCCUCCCGGUUUCCCCGUCACGGUGACCUCAACACGACCCUGGCCUCCCGCUGCCGCAAGGGACGCUGGGAGGACACGGGGUCGCCGGCGGCCCGCGGCUCUGGGGACGGCGGGACAGCGGGGGCUCACCAGGCCCGUCGCCUGGUCCCAGAAGCCGCCCCCCACCCCGCCCCCGCCCCCGCCCCCGCCCCCGCCCCCGCCCCCGCCCCCGGCGGCGCCGCGAGCUGCCGCUGUCCCCCCACCCCCACCCCCCGGGGCUCCCCUUUCCCUCAGACCCCCCUGCGGGCGACGGCGGGGGGAGGGGGGACCCGUGUGACGCGUGAACCGUCGCGUCCGCAGGGACCGCAAGGUGGCAUCAGGGGACCUGAGGGGAAGGGACUUGGGGGGGCGGGUCCUCUGACAGCGGGAGGGGCUGCUUCCCUCGGGCCUGGAGGAGGUCGGUCCCAGUGA
This 1083-nucleotide long non-coding RNA is filed under the name Felis catus (domestic cat). RNAcentral's name for it is "lncRNA (ENSFCAG00000051081.1)". Lineage: Eukaryota; Metazoa; Chordata; Mammalia; Carnivora; Felidae. The record is from RNAcentral.